This 615-nucleotide ribosomal RNA is filed under the name Triticum aestivum (bread wheat). RNAcentral describes it as "partial small subunit ribosomal RNA". The record is from RNAcentral. Lineage: Eukaryota; Viridiplantae; Streptophyta; Magnoliopsida; Poales; Poaceae.
AUGCUGACCAAGCUGAAGGCGGUUUACACUUUGGUGGAGCAACUCUACACCGGGUCACAACGUGCUUUAGCCAUUGUGGCUCUGUCCAAUGAGGUUCCCACCCACCUGGUAGACGUACUCAGGCGGCUUGCCGUUCUUCCUCAGCGCUUCCAAGAGCUGAGACGGGCUUCUGCAAGAGCCGGAGCUAUAGCUGCUCUGAGCCGGGCCAAGGCGUUUCUCCCGGAGCUAGACCCGGCCGACAUCGCUCUUGGAUACCCCAGCCUGAAGGAAGAUGGUACCCCCUUUGACCAGAAAGACUUCGCCGCCUGUGUGAAGAGCGUGCGCCCGGUGGCUACCUUGAUUGGGAAUGACACAGAUCUUACCAAGUAUCAGCCGAGCUAUGACGCGGAGAAUCAAAGGAUCCCCACUCCACGCUAUGAAGCAAUCAGCCUGAUCCCUCUGACUCGUAAGCACACCUUCGCUCCAGAAGUUGACCCGGCCGGGUUAAUUGAUGAUGAGGCUCAAUUUGAAGCUUUGAGCGGCAUUGACUGGAAAUCAUCAACCUUCCAGGUCAUGGAAACAGCCGAAGGAGCGGAGAGGGAUGAGCCGGGAGCUUCAACUCAACAAGCACCUUGA